This 511-nucleotide ribosomal RNA is filed under the name uncultured bacterium. RNAcentral describes it as "partial 16S ribosomal RNA". It matches the Rfam family "Bacterial small subunit ribosomal RNA", at positions 28 to 523 of the family's 1533-position model. The record is from RNAcentral.
GACGAACGCUGGCGGCGUGCCUAAUACAUGCAAGUCGAGCGGAAGUUGGAGAGCUUGCUCUUCAACUUUAGCGGCGGACGGGUGAGUAACACGUGGGCAACCUGCCCUGCAGAUCGGGAUAACUCCGGGAAACCGGUGCUAAUACCGAAUAGUUUUCGCCACCUCCUGGUGGCGUACGGAAAGACGGUUUCGGCUGUCACUGCAGGAUGGGCCCGGGGCGCAUUAGCUGGUUGGUGGGGUAACGGCCCACAAAGGCAACGAUGCGUAGCCGACCUGAGAGGGUGAUCGGCCACACUGAGACUGAGACACGGACCAGACUCCUACGGUAGGCAGGAGGAGGGAAUCUUCCGCAAUGGACGAAAGUCUGACGGAGCAACGCCGCGUGAGUGACGAAGGUUUUCGGAUCGUAAAACUCUGUUGUGAGGGAAGAACAAGUACCAACUAACUACUGGUACCUUGACGGUACCUCACCAGAAAGCCACGGCUAACUACGUGCCAGCCGCCGCCGUAA